Rosa chinensis is the source of this 824-nucleotide long non-coding RNA. RefSeq lists it as uncharacterized. The transcript is spliced from 4 exons. Lineage: Eukaryota; Viridiplantae; Streptophyta; Magnoliopsida; Rosales; Rosaceae. The record is from RefSeq and is a predicted model, not a curated record.
UCUAAUCUCCCACCCAAUCUCUUACUAAAAAAUUUCACACGGGAACAGACGCCGGACUCUAUCAGCUAUCCUUUCCUCUCUCAUAUCGCUCCCCCCUUUUCUCUUAAUCCUUCCUCAAACUGAUCUAAUCAUCCAGUUGUCUGGGUGAAUACCUCUCUCUCUCUCUCUCUCUCUCUCUCAAACAUGAAAGAGGACAUUUGAGUGACCCUUUGGGAGAGAUGGCACGAACUUUCGAUAUUGAAGCUAUUUGGACAGCCACUUCACCUGCACUUGCUGUGUUUACAAGCCUUCUUCAAGAUGAGUAGGAAAAUGAGCACUUCUUCGGCUUCAAAAGAUGAACCUGCGAAACAAGUGAAGAGCGCAAUUCGGUUAAAGAGCAGUAGCAAGUCUCAUGUAGCUUUCAAGAAGGAACAAAUGCUCUACAUCCUUACCACACCUUUGCUAUCGCAAGAAUAUAGCGAUUGAAGAGAGCUACCACUCAGCUGCUUCCAGAAUGUUUUGUGGAAUUUCUAACAAAGGAAAGCCCCUUUUAGUAGCGGUUUCUGUUCUGAUAAUGAUGGAUUCGAAGGGAAAUAUGUGGACUGUAUAUGUAAGCCCCCUUGAAUCACACCUAUGAAAACUAUUUGAAGAAAAAUAUGUGCACUGGAACACCUUACACCUCACCUAAAUUCCUCCAAUAGUUGUUCAGGUUUUUGCUGCUUGGUUUAUAUGAACAUUCGGCUAUGUAAUGUUAUGAGAUCAACAAUAUUAUUGUCUACACAAGCAAUUACUUUCUUCAAUAAUCUGCUAAAUCCCGCAGCAAAGCGCGGGCAUACUUACUAGUA